Molecule: long non-coding RNA, 977 nt
Organism: Syngnathus acus (greater pipefish)
Lineage: Eukaryota; Metazoa; Chordata; Actinopteri; Syngnathiformes; Syngnathidae
Exons: 2
Source: RefSeq, a predicted model, not a curated record
CAUUUAGAUGAAUUUGUUUUUUUUUAGGGGGGGGGGGCUUGAAGGUCUUAACUGUACACCAGUGACAUCAUCAAACAGCAACUUCCUUGACUCACUGAACCUGGCAUGCCACACCCUUGCCAUCAUACCUUCAGGUUCUGAGUCACGCAACGGCAGCCGAUGUCACUCAAAGAACGCACUUGGCGCAGUGUGGAGUGAUCCGCCCAACAGCCGCCAGCAACCCCUCCCGACUGCAUUUUUGGGCAUUGGAACCACUCAGCAGUGGAUGAUGCACACGAGGCCUUGCCAGGUGACGGCGAGAAUGUCGAGGGCGGCUCUGUCAUUGCGGAUAUAAGCUGUCACCGUGGAUGCUCUCGCUGCUUACAUUAAGUGCUCUCGGUUUGCGCGGUCACGCUCGGAUUGAGACAAACGACCCUUUUCGCGAGGGCGCUGAAAAAAAGCAAUUGAGAUGGACAAUGUAGCAGAUUAGAUGACUAUAAAGAUAACAGAUGCAAGAGUAUUGUUCAUUGUCAGCAUUUUUAUAUGCAAUGGAGGUCAUUCCAAAAGACAAAAAAUAUGUGAGGUCUGUGUUAUUUUUAAAUAAAUCCAAAUAUAAAAGUGUACUCUUAUAUUUAGCCAAGGUUCUUUUACUUUCAAAGAGUCUUUGUGUAGCCUCGCAACUCCAAGGACUUUACUUUCUUGUGCUCUCUUUUGGUUUAGCGAAUGAAAUCAUCACCGGAGACAUCUGGUGCCAAGGAACAUAGCGUGGGUGCCAGCUCGUUGCAUCAAAUCGCGGUAGCGACAAACCCAAACAGACUCCGCAGCUCCUUCCGUCUCUGUUUAUGUUUUAUGGGCCGCAACUCUUUUUGUUUUGGCUCCUUGGUUCCGGCUACACUUAUACACUAUAUACGUGCAAGAAGAUGAAUGAUGUGUCUGUCCCUCAAGCCAGGUGCAAUGUAAACAACCACAGAACUCAUUUUUGUAUCAUUGAAAAGAUG